Molecule: transfer RNA, 73 nt
Filed under: Camelus ferus (Wild Bactrian camel)
Lineage: Eukaryota; Metazoa; Chordata; Mammalia; Artiodactyla; Camelidae
Rfam family: tRNA
About the family: Transfer RNA (tRNA) molecules are approximately 80 nucleotides in length. Their secondary structure includes four short double-helical elements and three loops (D, anti-codon, and T loops). Further hydrogen bonds mediate the characteristic L-shaped molecular structure. tRNAs have two regions of fundamental functional importance: the anti-codon, which is responsible for specific mRNA codon recognition, and the 3' end, to which the tRNAs corresponding amino acid is attached (by aminoacyl-tRNA synthetases). tRNAs cope with the degeneracy of the genetic code in two manners: having more than one tRNA (with a specific anti-codon) for a particular amino acid; and 'wobble' base-pairing, i.e. permitting non-standard base-pairing at the 3rd anti-codon position.
Source: Rfam by way of RNAcentral
GAGGGUAUAGCUCAAGAGGUAGAGUGCAUGCUCAGCAUGCUCAAGGUCUUGGGUUCAACCCCCAGUGCCUCCA